UAAUACGUAGGAGGCGAGCGUUAUCCGGAUUUACUGGGCGUAAGGAGGGCGUAGGCGGUUUUUCAAGUCGGAUGUAAAAGUUUUCAGCUUAACUGAGAAAAGUCAUUCGAUACUGUUAAGCUAGAGGGCAGCAGAGGGAGGCGGAAUUCCCGGUGUAGUGGUGAAAUGCGUAGAUAUCGGGAGGAACACCAGUGGCGAAGGCGGCCUUCUGGGCUGUUUCUGACGCUGAAGCCCGAAAGCGUGGGGAGCAAACAGGAUUAGAUACCCUGGUAGUCCACGCCGUAAACGAUGGACACUAGUUAUGGGGAGUAUCGACCCUCUCCGUGACGGAGCUAACGCAUUAAGUGUCCCGCCUGGGGAGUACGGUCGCAAGGCUA
This 377-nucleotide ribosomal RNA is filed under the name uncultured bacterium. RNAcentral's name for it is "bacterial SSU rRNA". It matches the Rfam family "Bacterial small subunit ribosomal RNA", at positions 521 to 896 of the family's 1533-position model. The record is from RNAcentral.